GCAUGAAUGGUGUAGCGGUAACAUUCAACCCUUCCAUCGAGAAUAUUAGGUUGAGCUCGGGGUUCGACUCCCCGUUCAUGCA
Molecule: transfer RNA, 82 nt
Filed under: Hypoxylon rubiginosum
Lineage: Eukaryota; Fungi; Ascomycota; Sordariomycetes; Xylariales; Hypoxylaceae
Description: tRNA-Gly
Rfam family: tRNA
About the family: Transfer RNA (tRNA) molecules are approximately 80 nucleotides in length. Their secondary structure includes four short double-helical elements and three loops (D, anti-codon, and T loops). Further hydrogen bonds mediate the characteristic L-shaped molecular structure. tRNAs have two regions of fundamental functional importance: the anti-codon, which is responsible for specific mRNA codon recognition, and the 3' end, to which the tRNAs corresponding amino acid is attached (by aminoacyl-tRNA synthetases). tRNAs cope with the degeneracy of the genetic code in two manners: having more than one tRNA (with a specific anti-codon) for a particular amino acid; and 'wobble' base-pairing, i.e. permitting non-standard base-pairing at the 3rd anti-codon position.
Source: RNAcentral